UUGAAAGGGAAACGAUUGAAGUCAGUCGUACCGACGAGAAAUCAGCUUAUCGUGUGUUAACUUGUGGGCGUGCGUGAGUUUCGGCCUCGCUGUUUGCAUGUUUGUGCGCUUUGGGUGUACUUUUUCGUAUGGUUGGCCAACAUCAGUUUCGAUUACUAUAAAAUGACUGGCGGAAUGUAGCUUCGAUUUCAGUUGAAGUGUUAUAGCCUCUGGUAGAUGUGGUGAUUGAGACUGAGGAUUGCAACGAAUAUCCUUUGGGCUAUCCGUCUGGCCUCUGAAAGUUGCUUGGGUGCUGAAAGCUUGCUUAUGGUUAUCUAAGUUAACGGUCAAUAGGUUAGAACGCGAUUACAUUCGUUAAGGAUGUUGACGUA
This 371-nucleotide ribosomal RNA is filed under the name uncultured Glomeromycotina. RNAcentral's name for it is "eukaryotic LSU rRNA". Lineage: Eukaryota; Fungi; Glomeromycota. The record is from RNAcentral.